UUCCGACAGUGAGAGGAACGGCCGGAUACAGGAGACGGGAAGAAACAAGCCGAUUAUGUUCGCGUUAAUUAGGUGGUUGGAAGAUGUAAAAUUCUCAAUUCUGCCAACUGAACAUAUACGAGAUUUUAAUGAGGAUGAAUAAUUAGCCGGCAUGGAGGAAACGGACCUUUAUUUGGUGGAGUGGCGACAAGGAGCCAAAAGGCGGGUGGCCGGUCUAUGAAGCCUCCAUCAUCAAGCUAGCAGCCCAUGAAAUCGAACGCAGAUCUUCCUGAUGUGAGAUUUACAUAAAUAUGUCAAAGUCUCAACCUCAUGCUGCCCUCCCCCAUCCUCCUAAAUUUCAAUGGUGCGUGUUCUCCUAAUGGCCGCCUUCCCACUGGAGGUUUUGAUCCACAGCAAUUUAAAAGGAGGACAAAGCAAAACGGACAUCGGCGCAGAGUGAAGAACUGCCCUUCAUAAGGACACUAUGACAGCCAUAUAUAUGGCGGUAAGGAAGAGGUUUCCCAAUUUGUGCAGAAGGGCUUUGAGGAUUGCAGUGAAAGCUGGGGGAACUGAGACUGCUGGAAAAGGAAAAGAAAUUACAUUUUAAGUAUGUUGACUUAUGUUCAUACAAUCACACACACAUAUACACACACAUAUGUGUGUGUAUAUGUGUAUAUAUAUGUAUAUGUAUAUAUAUAUAUAUAUACACACACACACAUAUAUGUGUAUGUGUGUGUUUCUUUUAGAAUGUUUAAGUAUGUAAUGAGAAUAAAAUUAUAAAAUGAAUAUUCCUUGCUUGAUUUAUAUGCAUGUUUUAAACAUCAAAUAAAGAUUUCUUUCAGCUGUUACA
Molecule: long non-coding RNA, 829 nt
Organism: Oreochromis niloticus (Nile tilapia)
Lineage: Eukaryota; Metazoa; Chordata; Actinopteri; Cichliformes; Cichlidae
Exons: 6
Source: RefSeq, a predicted model, not a curated record